Molecule: long non-coding RNA, 1294 nt
Filed under: Sitophilus oryzae (rice weevil)
Lineage: Eukaryota; Metazoa; Arthropoda; Insecta; Coleoptera; Curculionidae
Description: uncharacterized LOC115875968
Source: RNAcentral
ACAUCGACCUGAUUCUAAUUGUUUAAUUAACAAUGUUUAUUAUAAGAACAUAUUCAGGUCGACGUAUACGCGAACGAUUCCCUUGAAUCUACAUCAAAUUAGUUUACCAGAAUUAUAUUUUACAUGAUUUUUCCCAAUUUGAUGUAAACCCAAGUUGGCCUAUAUUUAAGUCUUGACAUAUCCCCCGGGCUUGGAGAGCUGGUCCCCAGCGAUAAAAAAAAAUCAUGUGCUAUUAAGCUUAAUUAAGAUUUUCUUGCGACUCAUCAAAAUCAAAAAAAAAUAUAUAUUUUUAUCAUUUACUCUUUAAUCCCGUACAAACAAAAGGUCCUACGCGAUACCACCCGUACUGAAAAUAUGUCUCCUGGCAUCCUGGUGCGUUGCGUCCGUUUCAACAAUACCAUAAGCUUCAAGCUUUAACCCUAGCUCAUAUCAGUUAAGUAAUGCACACGCCAGCACUGCCUUUGCCUUUGUUUGACUGGUUGCCUUCUUAUUCAUUGUAUACUUCUGUUCGUCCGUGCGCUUGGUUUCAAUGUCAAACGGGCGACGGCCUUUUGAAAUUGCUGGGAUCAGCGGAAUACUGAACAAUUAUUUUCUCUUUUCUUCAUUAGUGUACUGUUUUCAUUCGAGCCAAACAAAAUUUACUUGUUAAUAUUUCUUGGUUUUCUGGCUUCUCUGCGGCUGGUUAUUGCUUCCAUAUCCGUAUCCAAAAAAUUCCAUACAUCUCCAAUCCAUUAGAAUUCGAGGCAAAAAGGCGAGCGGCGUGUUUAACAUUUGCUCAACUGAACAGAGCUUGUGAUGCUGGAAAGUUUCAUCUCACUGGUGUGGUUGGUACGUGUUUCCAGACAGCAACUCAUUUCUUCCUUCGACUUCUUAGUGUUGAUUGUGGUAUCGGCAGGUGUGAUACAAAAUUCAUGAGAAAUUAAAGAGUAAGUACUAUAUUUUAUUCCUAUCUUUAAUAUCUAAAACAGAAUAACAAUUACGUUAAUAAAACUAUUCUUCUUAGUUACCUGUGAAAUAUCUACAGUUUAUUUUAUCUUAAAUAUUUUUCGAAAAUGCAUUUGCUUAAAAAAAAUUAAAAAUUGAUAGUUUUAAUUAUUUGCUUAGGUUCCUUAUAUUUAUAUAAAAAAUAAAGAUUUAAAAUAUGACUUUACUUAUUACUAUUUAAUUAGUCCAGCUAAGCACUUUGUAUUAUUAUUUAUAUUUAAAAAUAGCCUCCAACUAUUUGUACUUCAGCAAAAUUAGAAAAGUAAGUAUUUAUUAUAACGUUUACAUUUUCUUUUCAUUUAGGACGAAG